RNAcentral lists this ribosomal RNA (387 nucleotides) under Pyramimonadales sp. Its description in RNAcentral is "partial small subunit ribosomal RNA". It matches the Rfam family "Eukaryotic small subunit ribosomal RNA", at positions 582 to 975 of the family's 1831-position model. The record is from RNAcentral. Lineage: Eukaryota; Viridiplantae; Chlorophyta; Pyramimonadophyceae; Pyramimonadales.
AUUCCAGCUCCAAUAGCGUAUAUUUAAGUUGUUGCAGUUAAAAAGCUCGUAGUUGGAUUUCGGAUGGGUUUGACCGGUCCGCCUUUGGUGUGCACUGGUCGCGCCUAUCUUGCUGUCGGGGACGCGCUCCUGGCCUUAAUUGGCUGGGACGCGGAGUCGGCGAUGUUACUUUGAAAAAAUUAGAGUGUUCAAAGCAGGCCUAAGCUCUGAAUACAUUAGCAUGGAAUAACGCUAUAGGACUCUGGUGCUAUUUUGUUGGUUUCGAACACCGGAGUAAUGAUUAACAGGGACAGUCAGGGGCAUUCGUAUUCCGCCGAGAGAGGUGAAAUUCUCAGACCAGCGGAAGACGAACCACUGCGAAAGCAUUUGCCAGGGAUGUUUUCAUCA